CCUACGGGCGGCAGCAGUGAGGAAUAUUGGUCAAUGGACGAGAGUCUGAACCAGCCAAGUAGCGUGAAGGAUGACUGCCCUAUGGGUUGUAAACUUCUUUUAUAAAGGAAUAAAACGAGGCACGUGUGCCUUUUUGCAUGGACUUUAUGAAUAAGGAUCGGCUAACUCCGUGCCAGCAGCCGCGGUAAUACGGAGGAUCCGAGCGUUCUCCGGAUUUAUUGGGUUUAAAGGGAGCGUAGAGGGGUUGUGAAGUCAGUUGUGAAAGUUUGCGGCUCCACCGUAAAAUUGCAAUUGUUACUUGCAGUCUUGAGUACAGUUGAGGUCGGCGGCAUUCGUGGUGUAGCGGU
This 347-nucleotide ribosomal RNA is filed under the name uncultured bacterium. RNAcentral describes it as "partial 16S ribosomal RNA". It matches the Rfam family "Bacterial small subunit ribosomal RNA", at positions 338 to 682 of the family's 1533-position model. The record is from RNAcentral.